GGGGUUGUGGCUCAGCGAUAAGAGCACUUGCCUAGCAUGUGUGAGGCACUGGGUUCAAUUCUCAGCAUCUCA
RNAcentral lists this transfer RNA (72 nucleotides) under Marmota monax (woodchuck). RNAcentral's name for it is "tRNA.Ala". It matches the Rfam family "tRNA". From Rfam's summary of the family: Transfer RNA (tRNA) molecules are approximately 80 nucleotides in length. Their secondary structure includes four short double-helical elements and three loops (D, anti-codon, and T loops). Lineage: Eukaryota; Metazoa; Chordata; Mammalia; Rodentia; Sciuridae. The record is from RNAcentral.